UACGGGGGGAGCAAGCGUUGUUCGGAUUUACUGGGCGUAAAGGGCGCGUAGGCGGUCGUGACAAGUCACUUGUGAAAUCUCCGGGCUUAACUCGGAACGGUCAAGUGAUACUGUCGGACUAGAGUACAGAAGGGGCAACUGGAAUUCUCGGUGUAGCGGUGAAAUGCGUAGAUAUCAAGAGGAACACCUGAGGCGAAGGCGGGUUGCUAGGCUGACACUGACGCUGAAGCGCGAAAGCCAGGGGAGCAAACGGG
Molecule: ribosomal RNA, 254 nt
Filed under: uncultured bacterium
Lineage: Bacteria
Description: partial 16S ribosomal RNA
Rfam family: Bacterial small subunit ribosomal RNA
Source: RNAcentral